RNAcentral lists this long non-coding RNA (1759 nucleotides) under Homo sapiens (human). Its description in RNAcentral is "HSALNT0042661". Lineage: Eukaryota; Metazoa; Chordata; Mammalia; Primates; Hominidae. The record is from RNAcentral.
UGCAGUGGCAGUUUGUCCGGAAUUUAUUCCUUCCAGUGGGUUCUUGGUCUCGCUGACUUCAAGAAUGAAGCAGAGGACCUUGCAGUGAGUGUUACAGCUCUUAAAGAUGGGCUACUCCUGAGUAUAGCUGGAGUUCAACCGCAAUCCGUGUUUUACUUUACAAUGAAAGGAGGCAACCUGUCCUGAGCAAGACCUGAGUAUUUUUAUUCAUUGGUCAAACUGUUCAUAGGGAACUUCCCAAAAGGCCAUAGGACUUGACCUGAAGGAGACCUGUGUAUGUAUGCUGCAACAGAGGUCUGUGGUUUGGGUUUCUUGAACACUUUGUUGUUGAAACUAAUUUGUGCACUUUGGACCUGCUUGGGCCCAAUCCCAAAUGUUUAAUUUUCAUCUCAUAAGCCUAUUGGAGAAACUCUGUGAGCCAGUAUAGAACACACGUCUCAGAGAUAGCUCACUCGUGAGAUGAUCAAGCUGAGCUAUUUAGGUACCAGCUCCUGUAAGACACUGGUUGAGGGCUCUUCCUAUGGGAUGUUAAUUUCCAGGUACUUGUAGCCUGCUGCACAAGUGAACAAAGAAGGCUUCAAUAUGCGGAGAAAGCUCUCAAGCAAAGAAAUACUGUUUCUCACAGUCAGAAGUUGGUGUAACUGAGAAUCAGACAUGUUAAUUAAUAUGUUAUGUAAUAUUGGAUAUUAGGGAUAAUCUUAUGGAUUAUCCCAGUUCCAAUGACAAAUAACACAAAAGGGCUUGCAAGAAAAUAUUUCAUAGCAGCCAUUCUGCUCACCUAAUUACAAUCAUUGUGAUCAAUUUCUUAAGUAUUUUCUGAGAGUCAUUAAUGAGUUUACAGGCAUACAUCCAUUCAUAUGCAUUUUAUAACUCUAUUUUCAAUCAUUUUAGUUUUGCCAAUCUAAAAGGAAAAAAUAGUUUUCUUUCUAUAUUUUUAUUUUUAUUUUUUAUUUUUAGAAACAGAGACUUGCUCUCUCACCUAGAAAAGAGUGCAGUGUUGCAAUCAUAGCUCACGUAACCUCGGACUCCUGAGCUCAAGGGAUUUUCCUGCCUGGCCUCCCCAGUAGCUAUGACUACAGGCACAUGCCAUCACACACAGCUAAUUUUUAAAUUUUUUGUAGAGACAGGUCUUCCUAUAUUGCCUAGGCUGGUCUCAAACUCCUAAUCUCAAGCACCUUGGCCUCUCAAAACUCUGGAAUCACAGGCAUAAACCACCAUGCCCACUCAGUAGUGUCUCCAUUUUUAUUUUUCAUUUAUCUUCUUUGAGUGAGAUAAACCAUCUUUCCAGAUAUUUAUGAGCUACUUUAAUUUACCUCUCUGUGAAUUAUUGUCAUAUUCUCUGUGUAUUUUCUACUUUUUCCUGGUCUUUUUACAAAUUGUUGAAUGUUUUCUAUAUUAAAUUAUCCUGUUAUUAUGUAAUUACCAAUUUUUCCUUUAUGCAAGUGUUUUGCCAUAUUGAAUGCUUGAUUUAUACAUUGUUCAAUUUAUUGAUCUUUUCUUUAUAUAACAUUGAAGAAUUUCCUCAUUUUGUGACUCAAAAAAAGUUUCCAUGUUUUCUUCUAUUACUUUCUUGUUCAUAUUUCUUAUAUAAAUAUUUGAAAUAUUUAUUUUUGCAUAAAGUAUGCUAUCAAACUAUCCUAAUACCAUUUAUUAAAAUUCAUAUUCUUCCAUAAAUUUGAAAUAUAUUUUUUACCAUAUUUUAAGUUCCUGCAUGUAGUUCUCAUCUAUUUUUAGAUUCAACAGUGUACUUUGAGAGCCU